AAUGAACGCUGGCGGUAUGCCUAACACAUGCAAGUCGAACGGGAGCUCAGUAAGAACUUGCUCUUACGUGUGUCGCGCGGCGGACGGGUGCGUAAUACUUCGGAAUAUACUUUUUCGUGGGUGAUAACGUCGGAAAAUUUACUCUGAUACCUGAUACAUCCUACUUGGGAAGGCAGGGGAUGUUCUGGCCUUGCGCUAGUGAAUGAGCCUAUCUUGGCUUCGCUCGUUGGCUGGGUAAAGGCCAACCAAGGCGACGAUGCGUAUCUCGUCUGAGCGGAUGAUCAGCUACAUUGGAACUGAGAAACGGUACAGACUCCUACGGGAGGCAGCAGUCGGGAAUAUUGGACAAUGGGCGAAAGCCUGAUCCAGCCAUACCGCGUGGGUGAUGAAGGCCUUAGGGCUGUAAAGCCCUUUUGUUGGUAAAGAAAAGAAGCAGGUUAAUACCCCGCUGUUAUGACGGUACCCAAAGAAUAAGCACCGGCUAACUUCGUG
RNAcentral lists this ribosomal RNA (492 nucleotides) under uncultured bacterium. Its description in RNAcentral is "partial 16S ribosomal RNA". It matches the Rfam family "Bacterial small subunit ribosomal RNA", at positions 29 to 507 of the family's 1533-position model. The record is from RNAcentral.